ACAAACUUGGUCAUUUAGAGGAAGUAAAAGUCGUAACAAGGUUUCCGCAUCAAGUCAUGCCGGCUGGAACACCCUUCCUUCCGCAGUGUACACUUAUCGAAGCCUUUGCAGCCACGCAAGUGGUAGGCCCAGACGACUGUAAACAAAAUUGGGACCGCAUGCAAGUCGCGCCCUUGGGGGGCGUUGGCGACACUUUUGAAUUGCGGGGAUACCCUAAAGCCAGUCGCACCAACCAACGCGGGAAACUGCGGAAGGAUCAUUACCGAGUGCGGGCCGUCGCGGCCCAACCUCCCACCCUUGUCUCUAUACACCUGUUGCUUUGGCGGGCCCACCGGGGUCACCUGGUCGCCGGGGGACGUCUGUCCUCGGGCCCGCGCCCGCCGACGCGCUCUGUGAACCCUGAUGAAGAUGGGCUGUCUGAGUACGAUGAAAAUUGUCAAAACUUUCAACAAUGGAUCUCUUGGUUCCGGCAUCGAUGAAGAACGCAGC
RNAcentral lists this unclassified non-coding RNA (489 nucleotides) under uncultured fungus. Its description in RNAcentral is "partial contains internal transcribed spacer 1 and 5.8S ribosomal RNA". The stretch from base 441 to 489 matches the Rfam family "5.8S ribosomal RNA", at positions 1 to 49 of the family's 154-position model. Lineage: Eukaryota; Fungi. The record is from RNAcentral.